RNAcentral lists this unclassified non-coding RNA (1064 nucleotides) under Hevea brasiliensis (rubber tree). Lineage: Eukaryota; Viridiplantae; Streptophyta; Magnoliopsida; Malpighiales; Euphorbiaceae. The record is from RNAcentral.
GAACAGAUACAAUAAUCAAAGGUAUGUUAAGAUUCUACGUGCCGAAAUAUGAUCAUACAACGGAAAAGUGCAUCAAAAUUCACCAAUGGGGCUAACAAUUAAAAGUCCACCGCAAGUUCAGUACCAAAUUUUACACUCAAACCUUGCCUUAACUGAUGCUAAGUGGCCUAGCCCAUAUUGGGUGGUGGUGGCGGCGGCUGUCGGAUACCCUGACCUGGGAAGCCCUGUGGGGGAGGUGGCAUGGGAGGUCGAUUCAUCUGAGUACCAGGAGUGAAAUUCGCCAUUGUGUUAUUACCAACUGGAGGUGGCGGAGGGAUGGGCGGAGCCCCACCAGGAGGCAUUGGCCUAGGAGGACCAUUGGCCAUUACAGAAGGGGGAGGUGGCAAGGACCCAGGCAUCGGAGGGGGAGGGACUCUUGGUGGUGCUCCUUGCUGUGGUGGAGGUGGUGGCGGUGGUGGAGCUUGUGGUGGCGGCGGCAAUGGCCUUGGUGGUGCAGCAGAUGGCAUUGUUCCGUUGGCUGCAGGCACAGGUGGUGGCUUGUUUGCCUCUUGUGGCUUGGAUUUGAAAUACAAUUGCAGCGUGAACAUUUUUGAGUCCGGAUCCCAGUGUGAGAAGAAUUUUGGAGUCGAUUUGUCAAUCUCUGUGCUUGGAACCUUGAAUGCAAUUAUCUCAUAUGGUUCAGCUGCAAACAGAAGAUAUUGGUAUCUUUUGUCAAAAGGUUGCACACGCUGUUCGUAAGAGGACAUAAAACGAUGCCUAGGCUUUGCUAGGUCUUCAAUUUCAGGAUAUUCAAUCUGAAAAAGGAGAGAUCUCUGCUUUGUCUCAGAAUCAAAUUGCUUUGUAACUCGAUAACCAGGCCUUCCAAUUUUAACUGUUUUGCGAACAGAGACCUUCCGCUUGUGGGGUUGAGGUUGAGCAGGAGCCUCCUUGGCUUCACGGGCAGCCCUCUUAGCCAAAUUAGUCUGAUGCCGCUUCCCCUGCGUGUGCGCCAAGUAAUUACCCUCAUUGUUGUGCAGAGUCAAGCAAAGCUUACACUCAUAACUUCCAAGAUGAUUCCGCAUAAA